Molecule: ribosomal RNA, 253 nt
Filed under: uncultured bacterium
Lineage: Bacteria
Description: partial 16S ribosomal RNA
Rfam family: Bacterial small subunit ribosomal RNA
Source: RNAcentral
UACAGAGGGGGCGAGCGUUGUUCGGAAUUACUGGGCGUAAAGGGCACGUAGGCGGCCUGCUAUGUCGAACGUGAAAUCCCCGGGCUCAACCCGGGAACUGCGUCCGAAACUGGCAGGCUUGAAUCCGGGAGAGGGAUGUGGAAUUCCAGGUGUAGCGGUGAAAUGCGUAGAUAUCUGGAGGAACACCGGUGGCGAAGGCGGCAUCCUGGACCGGUAUUGACGCUGAGGCGCGAAAGCCAGGGGAGCAAACGGG